UUUUACAAUUUAACGAUAAAUCAAGGCAAGACAAACAAUACAUGCAUUAAGGAAAUACAACUGAAUUAUUUUACUAAUUCCAGUAUGUUAUCAUGCAUUUAAAGCUGUAAAAUCAAACAAUCGGUUAAACAGAAUAAACAAUAAUAAGUAAUUGGUUCUGCCUCCAUUAGUAACCUGUAAUUAAUUCUUGAAGUUUCCUAAAUUAUGCAAAAAC
This 214-nucleotide long non-coding RNA is filed under the name Carica papaya (papaya). Its description in RNAcentral is "long non-coding RNA (CPAP_LNC008353)". Lineage: Eukaryota; Viridiplantae; Streptophyta; Magnoliopsida; Brassicales; Caricaceae. The record is from RNAcentral.